GCGUGGCAGCCGGCGGCAAACCACACCCAACCUUUCCCUUCCUUAGAAUAAAAGCCGGAGGAGAAGGCGGGGGGAAAGACGGUUUCGUCAUGUCGGACGCCCCCGCGGGCUGCCGCGUGUAUGUUUGGCUGCGGCGCGGCUGCGGGGCCCUGGCCCACCCGGCGGCGUGGGGGAUGGCCAUCUUUCUGCUGCUGCUCUCCAGGCCUGGCACUAGUUUAUUUUCCUGGCACCCAGUGUUCAUGUCGAUUGCAUUCUGCCUCUGUCUGACGGAAGCCAUCCUGAUCUUUGCUCCAGAGGGCUCUCUUUUCUUCUGCUCCCAUAAAGUAAAAGUGCAGCUGCAUUGGAUUGCGCAAGUGCUGGGCCUCCUGGCUGCCACCUUGGGCUUGGUCUUCAUUAUCUCCAGCAAGAACCGGAGCGAACUCCCACACUUCAUCUCCUGGCACAGCAUCCUGGGUCUUCUGACAAUAUUGGCCAUCUAUGGGCAAGUCCUGUGUGGAUUGUGCCUACUCUUUCCACAGCUGCUAAGGAUUUCAUUAGUAGCUCAGCUCUGGAGGUACCAUGUUGUGUACGGAUUGAUAGUUUACUUGCUGGCCACUUUCACUGUAGUACUGGGCAUUUGUUCUGACUGGUUUCAGGCCCAGGUCAAAGGCGUGGCUUGGUAUUUAUGCUUGGGAUUGAUCUUCUGUCCAGCCCUGGUAAUUGUGAACCAGACUUCUAGAACUUUUUGGUCGAAGAAUAGACAAUAUGUUUGAGAUGUGAUCUCAGGAGGACACCCAGGAAUCAACACUUCAAUGCGAUUACUUGCCAAGAUAAGUAUCACUUUUCCACCCGUUAGAAUGUAAAGUAUGAUCCCCACAGAGUGCCACGUUUCUCUGAACAUGUCUUUAUUAAGUAGGUACCUACAAUACUUAUAGGUAAGUCAUAAAAAGUACAUUUUGCAAUUGUGGUCUUGCAUCUUGUAUUCCCCCCUCACUACUGGCAGCUGUGAUUGUCAUACAGAUUUUUUUAAAGCAGUUACUUAAGAGCAAUGAGUCAGAAACAGAAGAUCUAAAGAAAAUUCAAAGUCAUGCGGAAGAUGUUUGUGUGUUCUCAUGUUUUUCGUGUAAUAUAGCAAUAUUUUGACAGUAAAAUUGUGUUGAAUGUAAUUCAGAUAUUUUUCUUUGAGGAACUCACAUAAUUUUAUGUUUUGUUCUUAUUGCAUGGCUAAUAUACCGUAUCUUCCUAGUGCAGCCUUCCCCAACUGUUUGUCUUCUAAAUUUGCUGGGACUGUAGCACUCAGAAUUAUAGGAGAUUGUUCAGUAUGAUAGGAAUUUCUGGAAGGCACCAAUUGCAGGGGUGUCAAACUGCCGGCCCGCAGGGAAGUUUCAUCAUACUGAAGCCACACCCACCCCAUGGCCAGCAAUGCAAAAAGAGUUGUGAUAUGACGCACCACGUCACAUGACCUGGCGAGUUUGACACCCAUGAAUAGGGAAAGUCUAUUCUAUUGUCCUCGCUUGCAUCUGGCAAUGUGGUUUGAUGUUCUGAGUUACGGUAGCUUGCGGAAAUCGCAGCAGCACAAUCUGAUUUACUGUACCAUUGGCCUGGCAGGACUCUGGAAUGGAAAAUGGAAAGUAGCUGCAAAAAAGUCUGGAAGGGUAGGUUGUGGUACAGAUAGCCCUUGACUUACAGCAGAGUAUUCAGUGACCAUUCAAAAUUACAACGAUGUUGACAUGACUUAUGGCUGUUUUUCACACUUGCAACCAUUGCAGUAUCCCCCAUGGUCAUCAAAAUUUAAGUGCUUGGCAGCUGGCUCAUAUUUAUAAUGGCCGCAGUGCCCUGCGGUCAUGUGAUCACCUUCUGUGACCUUCUGACAAGCAAGGUCAAUGGGGAAAGCCAGA
Crotalus tigris (Tiger rattlesnake) is the source of this 1877-nucleotide RNA transcript. It is a transcript of the gene named cytochrome b561 domain-containing protein 1, with no coding region annotated. The transcript has 4 exons. NCBI's taxonomy places the organism in Eukaryota, Metazoa, Chordata, Lepidosauria, Squamata, Viperidae. The record is from RefSeq and is a predicted model, not a curated record.